Molecule: long non-coding RNA, 298 nt
Filed under: Numida meleagris (helmeted guineafowl)
Lineage: Eukaryota; Metazoa; Chordata; Aves; Galliformes; Numididae
Description: lncRNA (ENSNMEG00000013095.1)
Source: RNAcentral
AAAGAAGUGAUGGAGUCAUUAGUUUCACUCAUCUGGCUAAUAGGGCAGCAGAACAGCUGAUCCUCCUGGGUCUGGAGAUUCCUUCCUGAUGUCUCUCCUGCUCAGUGUUACACAACUCAGCAGAAUAUUGAGUUCUGGGUUGACCAUGAGCUCCUGGUCUGAUUGUCUCCUUCCAGCUUGGGAAGACCUGAAAAAAGGCAACUUCUCAUGGCAACGCAGUGGAAGAGCUGUUGCACGUAAGCUGGUCUUCAGAAACAAGACAGCAGAGGAGGUUGUGGGAAGAGUCCACGGUUUUUAG